Molecule: ribosomal RNA, 445 nt
Filed under: uncultured Actinomycetales bacterium
Lineage: Bacteria; Bacillati; Actinomycetota; Actinomycetes; Actinomycetales
Description: partial 16S ribosomal RNA
Source: RNAcentral
GACUACAGGGGUAUCUAAUCCUGUUUGCUCCCCACGCUUUCGCUCCUCAGCGUCAGUAAUGGCCCAGAGACCCGCCUUCGCCACCGGUGUUCUUCCUGAUAUCUGCGCAUUCCACCGCUACACCAGGAGUUCCAGUCUCCCCUGCCAUCCUCUAGUCUGCCCGUAUCGAAUGCAAGCUCAGGGUUGAGCCCCAAGUUUUCACAUCCGACGCGACAGACCGCCUACGAGCUCUUUACGCCCAAUAAAUCCGGACAACGCUUGCACCCUACGUAUUACCGCGGCUGCUGGCACGUAGUUAGCCGGUGCUUCUUCUGCAGGUACCGUCACUUUCGCUUCGUCCCUGCUGAAAGAGGUUUACAACCCGAAGGCCGUCAUCCCUCACGCGGCGUCGCUGCGUCAGGCUUUCGCCCAUUGCGCAAUAUUCCCCACUGCAGCCCCCCGUAGG